AGGCGGAGUGAGCGGCAUUGACACGCUGCGCAAAGUAGAAAUCGCCUCUGAAGAAGAUCCCGUCAAGAUGGAACGGGGAUUCAUUGCUUAUGACGAAUGCAGCGGAAAAAAAUCUGCCGACGAGUGCGUGACUGCCUACGACACAUACAAAUGCGGUUUGGAAAAGGAGCCGGACUUGGUCGUGAAAAUGGUCAAAGUUGACAGCGCAGUGCCAGUGACGCCUCAACCCAUUGCCUGUGCUCCAAAGCGGCGAGGUUGCUGGUUGUCUGAGCGCUUUCCGUGCACUCCGAAUGCCACGGCCAUCAAUAUCCUCGACAGCCAGAAUGGAACAG
This is a long non-coding RNA of Cloeon dipterum, 332 nucleotides long. RefSeq lists it as uncharacterized. The transcript is spliced from 4 exons. NCBI's taxonomy places the organism in Eukaryota, Metazoa, Arthropoda, Insecta, Ephemeroptera, Baetidae. The record is from RefSeq and is a predicted model, not a curated record.